Molecule: ribosomal RNA, 468 nt
Filed under: uncultured bacterium
Lineage: Bacteria
Description: partial 16S ribosomal RNA
Rfam family: Bacterial small subunit ribosomal RNA
Source: RNAcentral
GACGAACGCUGGCGGCGUGCUUAACACAUGCAAGUCGAACGGAAAGGCCCUGCUUUUGUGGGGUGCUCGAGUGGCGAACGGGUGAGUAACACGUGAGUAACCUGCCCUUUACUUUGGGAUAACUUCAGGAAACUGGGGCUAAUACCGGAUAGGAGCUCCUGCUGCAUGGUGGGGGUUGGAAAGUUUCGGCGGUUGGGGAUGGACUCGCGGCUUAUCAGCUUGUUGGUGGGGUAGUGGCUUACCAAGGCUUUGACGGGUAGCCGGCCUGAGAGGGUGACCGGCCACAUUGGGACUGAGAUACGGCCCAGACUCCUACGGGAGGCAGCAGUGGGGAAUAUUGCACAAUGGGCGGAAGCCUGAUGCAGCAGCGCCGCGUGCGGGAUGACGGCCUUCGGGUUGUAAACCGCUUUCGCCUGUGACGAAGCGUGAGUGACGGUAAUGGGUAAAGAAGCACCGGCUAACUACGUG